AGCAUUAAGAGGUCGUUCGGACAAAAAGGAUUGGGAAAGAGUUGAAAAAAGUGUGGUGCAAUAUCUUGGUGAGCAUACCGAAGAUAGCUGCCUGAAAUAUGUGAAGAUGAGUUAUGAUUAUUUGCCCCGAGAAGUGCAGAUGUGCUUUUUGUAUUGUGGUGUCUUUCCUCGAGGCUUUGAUAUCCCUUGUUGGAAGUUGAUUCGUUUGUGGAUAGCCGAGGGGUUGAUAAAGCCGCAGCCUGAGUCCACUCUACAAGUAGAGGAGAUAGCAGAGUUUUAUUUGACAGACCUUCUCAACAGAAA
Molecule: unclassified non-coding RNA, 303 nt
Filed under: Hevea brasiliensis (rubber tree)
Lineage: Eukaryota; Viridiplantae; Streptophyta; Magnoliopsida; Malpighiales; Euphorbiaceae
Source: RNAcentral